Molecule: non-coding RNA, 32 nt
Filed under: Mus musculus (house mouse)
Lineage: Eukaryota; Metazoa; Chordata; Mammalia; Rodentia; Muridae
Source: RNAcentral
UACAAAAGGAGAAACUGAGACUUGCUUUGUGC